Molecule: long non-coding RNA, 1085 nt
Organism: Phacochoerus africanus (Common warthog)
Lineage: Eukaryota; Metazoa; Chordata; Mammalia; Artiodactyla; Suidae
Exons: 4
Source: RefSeq, a predicted model, not a curated record
UCGGCGCGGCUGCCAUUGGUCCCCGCUGGGGUGAAAAUGAGGGGAAAGGACUGGGCUCGGGACUCCCGGGGGGCGGGAAGUGGAAGAAGAAAACACGCGCCCGCUUUCCUGCUGCGUUUAGCGGCCUCACCGUGAACGCUAGAAAGCGGGAGCCUACUGCUGCUCUUAUCUCCCAGGGCCUCUUUCUCUUUUCUUGCCGAAGUUUAGGCCCAACGUCAGCGGACCCCUCUCUAACUCCGCAAUCCACGCACACCUCACGGAUUACUCCCCUGCCCGCAGCAACCCAAGCUAUUAAUCUUGUCUUCCGCUCGCUCCCACCCCCAGCGCGCCUUUGCGAGCAGUAAGUCUAAUGCAUUUGUUUGAGAAACAUUUCUUGAAGAUCUGAGAGUUCUGUAACUCCCACUCAUGUGGUAAAAUUUUUCUGGCAUUUGGAGUUUGAGCAUACUUAUGGUCCUUCGGAUUCUGAAAGAAGAUUUUUUGGAAAUUUCUCCUCAAAAUAUGCCAUGUUCUCCUAAAGUGGAUACCAGAAAAUAAUAUUUUUCUAGCUUGGGCUGCAUAGGGCAAGCAACCGAAGUCAUCAGACUGGCUGUGCUCCACGAGGCCACCCGAGACCCCAGGGCGUCCCACGAGACUGCUGCCAUCCGCCGCCGCGUUAUUCUCAGCUGCAUGGUUGAAGCCGGGUCAAGGAACCCCAUGAUCUACCUCGUAGGAAAGAAAAGGGAGCAUGGGGGAUAUUUUGUCCUAUAUUUGAAGGGCUACGCUCAAAAUUGGCAAACGUCAUUCCUGCUCCAUUCCAUCGUGAGUAUGUAGGCAUUUCAUCCCACGGCUUCAAACAAGGCUGAGAAGUGUGUUCUCUGACGAUGCACCAGCCACAGCUCUUUUACUGAAGAGGAGGGACAGGAUGGAUUGCAAUGGACAUUUCAAGCAUCCAUCCCAUAGGCUCUCCUGUCAGUUUUUGUAACCCGCAGUGUUCUGCUCUGCAGGCUUUAAAGUGCAAGCUCUAAACCUGUAUCCAUCAGAUUCUCUAGUCCCUAGAGUAAAUAUACCUUGUGUCAGUUUAAAAAAAUAAAUUCUUUCACACUCUG